ACUAGUGGGGACAGACAGAAAAUAAACAAGUAAAAUCUAGUGCAUGUCAGUUGGUGAUAAGUGAUGUGGAAGCUAGGUAAAGGGGUACAGCUUAAAAUAGGUCAGUCAAAGCAGACAUCAUCCAGCAGAUGAUAACGAGUUGAAGUCCAAGUUGGUGAUGGAGUGAGCCCCACAUAUCCGAGGGCAGUUUUCUAAGCAAGAAGAAUCACAAGGGAAAAGUUCUGACCAGGAAAUGAAUUGGUAACUUGAAGAACAGUGAAGAAACAUGUCAUCGUGCCUGGGCAAAAAGACCCAAUGGAAAAGGGGAAGGAGAAGAGGUCAGAAAGGUAUCACCAUGUACGAUCUAUGUUCCAAGGAGGCUGUGAAGACACUGAAACAGAACUAUUUUAAAAGCCACCUUCAGUGUUUUGAGGCAGUAAUGUUCUCCUAAGAAGCCCAAGAUUGUCGGUGCCACACCCUGAGCUUGGCACAGAUCCUUAUGGAAGAUGAAUUUAUCGGCAGAGAAGGGUGAAGGGGUGUAUGUUUCGUCCACCACUAAGCUGCUGAAACA
This is a long non-coding RNA of Mustela lutreola (European mink), 550 nucleotides long. RefSeq lists it as uncharacterized. The transcript is spliced from 3 exons. NCBI's taxonomy places the organism in Eukaryota, Metazoa, Chordata, Mammalia, Carnivora, Mustelidae. The record is from RefSeq and is a predicted model, not a curated record.